Molecule: microRNA, 24 nt
Filed under: Amborella trichopoda
Lineage: Eukaryota; Viridiplantae; Streptophyta; Magnoliopsida; Amborellales; Amborellaceae
Description: atr-miR8613
Source: miRBase by way of RNAcentral
CAUCAAAUUGGAUGACUUGGGAUG